UGUCUUUGUACAAUAUCUGUCUGCAGGAUCUGUAAUGCACUGCAGCUUUAAGCUCUCAUUCUCACUUUGCUUCAACAUGUGUGUCUUACAGCUGAUCACUGCCACAGUUACUGGGACACGAACGGUGUCUUCCAUGAUACUCAGGAAUGUGAAAAGUACUGCUGUGGGGACUGCAGGACAAAAUACUGCUGCAGUGACAUAAAGUACAACUUUACUGAGAAAAAACAGGAACUCUGUUUCAGAAGGUCUGCUCGAGUGAAAAGAAGCUAUCAUGUAGAGUAUGUGGGAAUAGGGGUUCCUAUUCCCAUUCUCGUAUGCACGGGUCUCAUAAUCUGCUGUGUGACUCGUUGCUGCUGCUGCUGCUGCUGCAGGACAUCCAAAAAGAAAAAUCCCAGACGAGAAAUAAUCAUGUUAACCACGGUCUAUCAGCCUGUACCAGCAGCCACACCCAUGCUCACAACUCCACCACCCUCCUACCAGGAAAGUGUCCCAUUCACACAAUUGCAGCCAAUGCACUCCUUUCAACGGGUCAGCGAGCCUUCUGCAGCAGCAUUACAUUCAGAUGAGCUGGAGGAGCUUGAACCUUGUCAUGGACCACAAUCUGUAAAAAAGGCUAAGAUCCAAAAGAACUCAUCUAUAUCCGUCUAAAAAGGGACUUCAUGUUACAAGAUACACGAUAACACAGAGUUCAGAAAUAUUUACGCGUGACUGUGCUAAUGCUAAGAGGGUAGAGUUCGUAAGAGAGUAUAAUACCUCACCAUGAGCAGAUAAUCAUUGUGAACAAAGUUAACAGCUGCUUACAAAGUCAUGAUCUCUUUAUUUAUCCGGGGAAGCAAUGUUGAAGUGGUGACUGGUAGAUGUACAGUCUCAGCUCUUUUGAUGAUUUUUAUUUAGUUUUGUUUUAGUUUAAAUGGGUUUGUAUGAUUUAUUGUGAAAGAUAUAAUAAAAAACAACUUCUGUAUAUUAUAUUGUGAUGUGUUGUGAUUGAGCUACAUGUUUUUCUCUGUCCAGAUGCUUAAAUAAAUAUUCCAUUUACAAUGUAAA
Molecule: long non-coding RNA, 1044 nt
Organism: Haplochromis burtoni (Burton's mouthbrooder)
Lineage: Eukaryota; Metazoa; Chordata; Actinopteri; Cichliformes; Cichlidae
Exons: 4
Source: RefSeq, a predicted model, not a curated record